This 73-nucleotide transfer RNA is filed under the name Papilio xuthus (Asian swallowtail). It matches the Rfam family "tRNA". Rfam says of the family: Transfer RNA (tRNA) molecules are approximately 80 nucleotides in length. Their secondary structure includes four short double-helical elements and three loops (D, anti-codon, and T loops). The record is from Rfam by way of RNAcentral. Lineage: Eukaryota; Metazoa; Arthropoda; Insecta; Lepidoptera; Papilionidae.
GCGUGAAUAGCAUAAUGGUUUAAGGUACGGAUUUCCGAUCACGAGGUUGCGGAUUCGAAUUCCGCCUUUCGUA